GUUUGCUUCAUCAGCAAAUAUACUAAAAAAUUAGAAUGAUACAGAGAAGAUUAGUAUGACCCCUGGGCAAGGAUGACAUACAAAUUUGAGAAGCAUUUCAUAUUUUU
This is a small nuclear RNA of Onychomys torridus (southern grasshopper mouse), 107 nucleotides long. The record is from RefSeq and is a predicted model, not a curated record. Lineage: Eukaryota; Metazoa; Chordata; Mammalia; Rodentia; Cricetidae.